RNAcentral lists this unclassified non-coding RNA (283 nucleotides) under plant metagenome. Its description in RNAcentral is "partial contains small subunit ribosomal RNA and internal transcribed spacer 1". The stretch from base 1 to 52 matches the Rfam family "Eukaryotic small subunit ribosomal RNA", at positions 1778 to 1831 of the family's 1831-position model. The record is from RNAcentral.
GGAAGUAAAGUCUAACAAGGUUUCCGUAGGUGAACCUGCGGAAGGAUCAUUAUUGUAUAACCGAGGUGCGAGGGCUGUCGCUGACCCGAAAGGUCGUGCACGCCCGAGUGCCCUCACACACAUCCAUCUCACCCCUAUGUGCACCACCGCGUGGGUCCCCCUUUGGCUUGUUCGGAGGGGGGCUUACGUUUUCACACAAACUUUGUAUGCAGUGUAGAAUGUAUUUUUUGUUUUUGCGAUCACGCAAUCAAUACAACUUUCAACAACGGGUCUCUUGGCUCUC